CCCCCGAUAACCCCAGUGGACUCAUGUAGUCACCCAGAAGAUGCCGAGGACGAUCCACUUGUUGAGAGCGAGAUUCCUACUCCUACGCAUGCAGACUCAAGGGGGAUUGCAAACCAGACACCUGAUCCUUUUCCAGAUGUUCAGGAAGAGACGCCUUGUGAGCUU
Molecule: long non-coding RNA, 165 nt
Organism: Chenopodium quinoa (quinoa)
Lineage: Eukaryota; Viridiplantae; Streptophyta; Magnoliopsida; Caryophyllales; Amaranthaceae
Exons: 3
Source: RefSeq, a predicted model, not a curated record